RNAcentral lists this small RNA (482 nucleotides) under Pan troglodytes (chimpanzee). RNAcentral's name for it is "retained intron". The record is from RNAcentral. Lineage: Eukaryota; Metazoa; Chordata; Mammalia; Primates; Hominidae.
AGUAUUCCUACGAUGCCCUGGAGAAGAAGCAGUUUCUCCCCGUGGCCUUUCCUGUGGGAAACGCCUUCUCAUACUAUCAGAGCAACAGAGGCUUCCAGGAAGACUCAGAGAUCCGAGCAGCUGAGAAGAAAUUUGGGAGCAACAAGGCCGAGAUGGUGGUGCCUGACUUCUCGGAGCUUUUCAAGGAGAGAGCCACAGCCCCCUUCUUUGUAUUUCAGGUGUUCUGUGUGGGGCUCUGGUGCCUGGAUGAGUACUGGUACUACAGUGUCUUCACGCUAUCCAUGCUGGUGGCGUUCGAGGCCUCGCUGGUGCAGCAGCAGAUGCGGAACAUGUCGGAGAUCCGGAAGAUGGGCAACAAGCCCCACAUGAUCCAGGUGUGGCUACCAGGGAGACCCAGGUUGGGGGUGCAGCACAGGUGCGGCUUCUGUGCUGACACCCAUGCCCCGCCCAGGUCUACCGAAGCCGCAAGUGGAGGCCCAUUG